This 458-nucleotide ribosomal RNA is filed under the name Carex panicea. Its description in RNAcentral is "eukaryotic LSU rRNA". The stretch from base 317 to 458 matches the Rfam family "Eukaryotic large subunit ribosomal RNA", at positions 1 to 141 of the family's 3401-position model. The record is from RNAcentral. Lineage: Eukaryota; Viridiplantae; Streptophyta; Magnoliopsida; Poales; Cyperaceae.
UGCAGAAUCCCGUGAACCAUCGAGUCUUUGAACGCAAGUUGCGCCCAAGGGACCCUCCCGAGGGCACGCCUGCCUCAUGGGCGUUAGAAGCCCAUCCACGCUCGGUUGCCUAACUAACGGCAAAGAAGCGGAUGUUGGCCCUCCGAACCGCGAGGCGCGGUGGGCCUAAGUGUGCGGCCGUCGUACGUGGCCGGGAGCGGCGAGUGGUGGGCUACUGCGCACGUCACCCCGAGCCCCGUAACGACACAGGGCCUUGUUGGAACCCCUAACGAGGAGCAUCCCGCCGCGGCUUGUGCUGCGCGGGGCCUUCGGACCGAUACCCCAGGUCAGGCGGGGCUACCCGCCGAGUUUAAGCAUAUAAAUAAGCGGAGGAGAAGAAACUUACAAGGAUUCCCCUAGUAACGGCGAGCGAACCGGGAGAUGCCCAGCCUUAGAAUCGCGGCGGCACUGCUGUCCGA